This 263-nucleotide ribosomal RNA is filed under the name uncultured bacterium. RNAcentral describes it as "partial 16S ribosomal RNA". It matches the Rfam family "Bacterial small subunit ribosomal RNA", at positions 30 to 289 of the family's 1533-position model. The record is from RNAcentral.
UUGAACGCUGGCGGCAUGCCUAACACAUGCAAGUCGAACGGCAGCACGGUCUGGUUUACCAGAUGGGUGGCGAGUGGCGGACGGGUGAGUAAUGCGCAGGAAUAUGCCUUAAAGAGGGGGAUAACUUGGGGAAACUCAAGCUAAUACCGCGUAAUCUCUGAGGAGGAAGCUGGGGACCUUCGGGCCUGGCGCUUUAAGAUUAGCCUGCGUCCGAUUAGCUAGUUGGUAGGGUAAAGGCCUACCAAGGCGACGAUCGGUAGCUG